Molecule: non-coding RNA, 21 nt
Filed under: Arabidopsis thaliana (thale cress)
Lineage: Eukaryota; Viridiplantae; Streptophyta; Magnoliopsida; Brassicales; Brassicaceae
Source: RNAcentral
UAAAGGGCUGCGACAGGGUGA